UCCUACGGGGGGCAGCAGUGGGGAAUAUUGCACAAUGGGGGAAACCCUGAUGCAGCGAUGCCGCGUGGAGGAAGAAGGUUUUCGGAUUGUAAACUCCUUUUAUCAGGGACGAUAAUGACGGUACCCGAAGAAAAAGCAUCGGCUAACUCCGUGCCAGCAGCCGCGGUAAUACGGAGGAUGCGAGCGUUAUCCGGAUUUAUUGGGUUUAAAGGGUGCGCAGGCGGAUUUUUAAGUCAGCGGUCAAAUCGUGGGGCUCAACCCCAUCCAGCCGUUGAAACUGGGGAUCUAGAGUGUGCGAGAGGUAG
This 305-nucleotide ribosomal RNA is filed under the name uncultured bacterium. RNAcentral's name for it is "bacterial SSU rRNA". It matches the Rfam family "Bacterial small subunit ribosomal RNA", at positions 337 to 660 of the family's 1533-position model. The record is from RNAcentral.